AUUGAACGCUGGCGGCAGGCCUAACACAUGCAAGUCGAACGAGGGGCGGACGGGUGAGUAAUGUCUGGGAACCUGCCUGAUGGAGGGGGAUAACUACUGGAACCGGUAGCUAAUACCGCAUACCAUCGGAUGUGCCCAGUUGGGUUUAGCUAGUGGGGGGGGAAAAGGCUCACCUAGGCGACGAUCCCUACCUGGUCUGAGAGGAUGACCAGGCACCCUGGGACUGAGACACGGGCCAGACUCCGACGGGAGGCAGCAGUUGGGAAUUUUGGCACAUGGGCGGAAGGCCGAUUGAGCCCUGCCGCGGGGUUGAAGAAGGGCUUUGGGUUGGAAAAGUCCUUCCGGCGGGAGGCGUUACCCGCAGAAGAAGCACCGGCUAACUCCGUGCCAGCCGCCGCGGUAAUAC
RNAcentral lists this ribosomal RNA (406 nucleotides) under uncultured bacterium. RNAcentral describes it as "partial 16S ribosomal RNA". It matches the Rfam family "Bacterial small subunit ribosomal RNA", at positions 28 to 526 of the family's 1533-position model. The record is from RNAcentral.